Molecule: ribosomal RNA, 465 nt
Filed under: Vreelandella stevensii
Lineage: Bacteria; Pseudomonadati; Pseudomonadota; Gammaproteobacteria; Oceanospirillales; Halomonadaceae
Description: partial 16S ribosomal RNA
Rfam family: Bacterial small subunit ribosomal RNA
Source: RNAcentral
CCUACGGGGGGCUGCAGUGGGGAAUAUUGGACAAUGGGGGCAACCCUGAUCCAGCCAUGCCGCGUGUGUGAAGAAGGCCCUCGGGUUGUAAAGCACUUUCAGUGAGGAAGAACGCCUGGUGGUUAAUACCCAUCAGGAAAGACAUCACUCACAGAAGAAGCACCGGCUAACUCCGUGCCAGCAGCCGCGGUAAUACGGAGGGUGCGAGCGUUAAUCGGAAUUACUGGGCGUAAAGCGCGCGUAGGUGGCUUGAUAAGCCGGUUGUGAAAGCCCCGGGCUCAACCUGGGAACGGCAUCCGGAACUGUCAAGCUAGAGUGCAGGAGAGGAAGGUAGAAUUCCCGGUGUAGCGGUGAAAUGCGUAGAGUUCGGGAGGAAUACAAGUGGCGAAGGCGGCCUUCUGGACUGACACUGACACUGAGGUGCGAAAGCGUGGGUAGCAAACAGGAUUAGAUACCCCAGUAGUC